RNAcentral lists this ribosomal RNA (229 nucleotides) under uncultured bacterium. RNAcentral's name for it is "partial 16S ribosomal RNA". It matches the Rfam family "Bacterial small subunit ribosomal RNA", at positions 568 to 796 of the family's 1533-position model. The record is from RNAcentral.
UGCGUAGGCGGAUUAAUAAGUCAGUGGUGAAAACCUGCAGCUUAACUGUAGAACUGCCGUUGAUACUGUUAGUCUUGAGUACGGUCAAGGUAGGCGGAAUGUGUAAUGUAGCGGUGAAAUGCUUAGAUAUUACACAGAACACCGAUUGCGAAGGCAGCUUACUGGACCAUUACUGACGCUGAGGCACGAAAGCGUGGGGAGCGAACAGGAUUAGAUACCCUGGUAGUCC